GCCGGCGGGGUGACAAGAGCGGUGACAAAAAGGCGCCAUGUUGUCCCCCAGUACAGACACCCCGGGGGGGGGGGACGGAGGGACCCGGACGCCUGGGUCCCUUCCGGAGGGGGAGGGGCGCGAAGCAGAGGAGGGACCCAGGCGUCCGGGCGGGGACGUUAAGGGCCGAUGCGGAGCAUCCGGAUCGGUGCCACCGCGCGGUGACGAGGAUGGAGGGGGAGGGGACAAUUUUAGGGGGGGGAGUCUGAGGGUCAUGGGACAUCGGGGACCCUCGGGGACGUCCCCAGGGGGGCGAGGGACAGCGUGGUGGCACCAGCCCGGAUGGGGUGACCCCGGGCAGACGGGACAGGGGACACCAGGGACGUAGGACAAGUGUCCCCAAGGACCCGGAGCCACCCCGGGGUGUCAGGAACACGGUAAGGACCUGGGACCGCUCAAGGGACUUGGGACAACCCAACGGACCUGCAUCUUCUGGGCACCUGGCACCACCCCGGGGACCCAAGACAAGUGUCCCCAAGGACCCAGCGUCACCCCCGAGGGACUUGGGGCCACCGCAGGAACCCAGGACAGCUGUCACCAACGAUUUGGGAUCAUCCCAAGGAUCUGGGACCUUCUCGGGGACCUGGGACCAAGUCUCCAAAAAGCGUCUCCAAGGACUUGGGGCCACCCCUCGGACCACCCCAAGGAGGUGGGACCUUCUUGGGGACCUCCAGGGGACCACCGUGGGGACCCGGGACCACCCCGAGGACUCAAGGCCACCCCGCAGCCUCCUGCCCCACGACRAGCUGCCCCAAGGAGCUGGGACAUCUGGGUCCAGCCCCCCGUGCCCACGCGGCCUCCACUUCUCCACCACCACGUGGUUUCCAUCCCUCUCUCCGUCCCUACGUGGUUUUCAUCCAUCCGCACGUGGUCUYUGUCUCUCCGUUUCCGUGUGGUCUUCAUCCCCCUGUGGUCUCCAUCCAUCUUCCCGUUCUUGCAUGUUCUCCGUCCUCGUCUGAUCUCGGUCCGUCUCCAUCCCCACGUGGUCUCCAUCSCUCUWUCCAUCUGUGUGUGAUUUUUGYCCAUCUCUCCAUCCCCAGGUGGUCUCCAUCCCUCUUUCCAUCCCCACGUCUUCAUUUCUUUCUCUAUCCCUCUCUCCUUCCAUCUCUCCAUCCCCACGUUGUCUCCAUGCUUCUCUCCCUCUAUCCCCAUGUCGUCCCCAUCCCUCUUUCCAUCCCCCUGUGGUCUCCGUUUCUUUCUCCAUCCCUCUGUCUUUCCAUCCCCCCGUGGCUUCCAUUCCUCUUUCCAUCCUCCUGUGGUCUCCAUUUCUUUCUCCAUCCCUCUCUCCCUCCAUCCCCACGUGGUCUCCAUCCCACUCUCCAUCCCCACGUGGUCUUCAUUUCUUUCUCUAUCCCUCUCUCCAUCCAUCCCUCCAUCCCCACGUGGUCUUCAUCUUCAUCCCCAUGUGGUCUCCAUCCCUCUUUCCAUCUCCACAUGAUCUCCAUCUGUCUUUCCAUCCCCACGUGGUCUCCAUUUCUUUCCGCAUCCCUCUCUCCCUCCAUCCCCACGUGGUCUCCCCCCAUCCCUCCCUCCACGUGCCCCCCGAAGGCCCCGCGCUCCCGGGAUCCCGCUGCCGCCGGCGCCCCGGUGCUUCUGCCUCGUCUCCACUAGAGGGUGGUGGGAUCCGGCGCUUUCGAGACCCGUUCCCGAGGGGUUUCCGCUCGCGGGGCCUCCGCCGCGAGGUGGUGUUGGGGGCACCCCGAAUUCUCAGGGCUCUCCCCGAAGGACUGGAUCCCCUUCUUGAAGGAAUAGAUCCCUUUGCUGAAGGAACGGAUCCCUUUUUUGGUCUUUUCGUCCCUUUCUCCUCCUCCCGUACCUCCGCCCUCUUCCUCCGUCCGCGUUCACCACCGCUGCCCUUCUGCGGCUCCGUCCCUUCACCUACCCGUGGGUGCGUGGAGGGGAUCUGGGGGGAUCUGGGGGUGCACGGAGCAGAUUGGGGAAGAUCUGCGAAUGCAC
Molecule: long non-coding RNA, 1995 nt
Filed under: Apteryx rowi (Okarito brown kiwi)
Lineage: Eukaryota; Metazoa; Chordata; Aves; Apterygiformes; Apterygidae
Description: lncRNA (ENSARWG00000012706.1)
Source: RNAcentral